This 275-nucleotide ribosomal RNA is filed under the name uncultured bacterium. Its description in RNAcentral is "partial 16S ribosomal RNA". It matches the Rfam family "Bacterial small subunit ribosomal RNA", at positions 523 to 796 of the family's 1533-position model. The record is from RNAcentral.
AUACGGAGGGUGCAAGCAUUAAUCGGAUUUAUUGGGCGUAAAGAGCACGUAGACGGGAAAGAAAGUCAGGUGUGAAAUUUCGAGGCUCAACCUCGAAGCUGCAUUUGAAACUGCCGACCUACGAAGGUUGUCGGAGAAAACGGAAUUCCACGUGUAGCGGUGAAAUGCGUAGAUAUGUGGAAGAACACCUGUGGCGAAAGCGGUUUUCUAGAUAAUUCCUGACGCUGAGGCGCGAGAGCUAGGGGAGCAAACAGGAUUAGAAACCCCAGUAGUCC